CCUACGGGAGGCAGCAGUGGGGAAUUUUGGACAAUGGGCGAAAGCCUGAUCCAGCAAUGCCGCGUGAGUGAAGAAGGCCUUCGGGUUGUAAAGCUCUUUUGUCAGGGAAGAAACGGCAGUUUCUAAUACAGAUUGCUAAUGACGGUACCUGAAGAAUAAGCACCGGCUAACUACGUGCCAGCAGCCGCGGUAAUACGUAGGGUGCAAGCGUUAAUCGGAAUUACUGGGCGUAAAGCGUGCGCAGGCGGUUUUGUAAGUUUGUCGUGAAAGCCCCGGGCUCAACCUGGGAAUGGCGAUGAAGACUGCAAGGCUUGAAUCUGGCAGAGGGGGGUAGAAUUCCACGUGUAGCAGUGAAAUGCGUAGAGAUGUGGAGGAACACCGAUGGCGAAGGCAGCCCCCUGGGUCAAGAUUGACGCUCAUGCACGAAAGCGUGGGGAGCAAACAGGAUUAGAUACCCUGGUAGUCCACGCCCUAAACGAUGUCUACUAGUUGUCGGGUUUUAAUAACUUGGUAACGCAGCUAACGCGUGAAGUAGACCGCCUGGGGAGUACGGUCGCAAGNUUAAAACNCAAAUGAAAUUGACGG
This 585-nucleotide ribosomal RNA is filed under the name uncultured bacterium. RNAcentral's name for it is "bacterial SSU rRNA". It matches the Rfam family "Bacterial small subunit ribosomal RNA", at positions 338 to 916 of the family's 1533-position model. The record is from RNAcentral.